This 294-nucleotide ribosomal RNA is filed under the name uncultured bacterium. Its description in RNAcentral is "partial 16S ribosomal RNA". It matches the Rfam family "Bacterial small subunit ribosomal RNA", at positions 29 to 355 of the family's 1533-position model. The record is from RNAcentral.
AACGAACGCUGGCGGCAUGCCUAACACAUGCAAGUCGAACGAGACCUUCGGGUCUAGUGGCGCACGGGUGCGUAACGCGUGGGAACCUGCCUUAGGUUCGGAUAACUCAGAGAAAUUUGAGCUAAUACCGGAUAAUGUCUUCGGACCAAAGAUUUAUCGCCUUUAGAUGGGCCCGCGUUGGAUUAGCUAGUUGGUGGGGUAAAGCCUACCAAGGCGACGAUCCAUAGCUGGUCUGAGAGGAUGAUCAGCCACACUGGGACUGAGACACGGCCAGACUCCUACGGGAGCAGCAGU